AGCAGCCGCGGUAAUUCCAGCUCCAAUAGCGUAUAUUAAAGUUGUUGCAGUUAAAAAGCUCGUAGUUGAAUUUCAGGCCUGGCUGGGCGGUCCGCCUUUUGGGUGAGUACUGCCUGUGGUCGGGUCCUACCUUCUGGCGAAGCGUCAUGGCCUUAACCGGCCGUGGCGGGGAACCAGGACUUUUACUGUGAAAAAAUUAGAGUGUUCAAAGCAGGCAUUCGCUUGAAUACAUUAGCAUGGAAUAAUGGAAUAGGACAGUGGUUCUAUUUGUUGGUUUCUAGGACCGUUGUAAUGAUUAAUAGGGAUAGUUGGGGGCAUUAGUAUUCAAUUGUCAGAGGUGAAAUUCUUGGAUUUAUUGAAGACUAACUACUGCGAAAGCAUUUGCCAAGGAUGUUUUCAUUAAUCAAGAACGAAAGUUAGGGGAUCGAAGACGAUCAGAUACCGUCGUAGUCUUAACCAUAAACUAUGCCGACUAGGAAUCGGGCGAUGUUGACAAAAUGACGCGCUCGGCACCUCAUA
Molecule: ribosomal RNA, 519 nt
Filed under: uncultured Paraglomus
Lineage: Eukaryota; Fungi; Glomeromycota; Glomeromycetes; Paraglomerales; Paraglomeraceae
Description: SSU rRNA
Rfam family: Eukaryotic small subunit ribosomal RNA
Source: RNAcentral